GACGAACGCUGGCGGCGUGCUUAACACAUGCAAGUCGAACGGAAAGGCCCUGCUUUUGUGGGGUGCUCGAGUGGCGAACGGGUGAGUAACACGUUAGUAACCUGCCCUUGACUUUGGGAUAACUUCAGUAAACUGGGGCUAAUACCGGAUAGGAGCUCCUGCUGCAUGGUGGGGGUUGGAAAGUUUCGGCGGUUGGGGAUGGACUCGCGGCUUAUCAGCUUGUUGGUGGGGUAGUGGCUUACCAAGGCUUUGACGGGUAGCCGGCCUGAGAGGGUGACCGGCCACAUUGGGACUGAGAUACGGCCCAGACGCCUACGGGAGGCAGCAGUGGGGAAUAUUGCACAAUGGGCGGAAGCCUGAUGCAGCAACGCCGCGUGCGGGAUGACGGCCUUCGGGUUGUAAACCGCUAUCGCCUGUGACGAAGCGUGAGUGACGGUAAUGGGUAAAGAAGAACAGGCUAACUACGUG
This 468-nucleotide ribosomal RNA is filed under the name uncultured bacterium. RNAcentral describes it as "partial 16S ribosomal RNA". It matches the Rfam family "Bacterial small subunit ribosomal RNA", at positions 28 to 507 of the family's 1533-position model. The record is from RNAcentral.